RNAcentral lists this ribosomal RNA (301 nucleotides) under uncultured bacterium. RNAcentral describes it as "partial 16S ribosomal RNA". It matches the Rfam family "Bacterial small subunit ribosomal RNA", at positions 509 to 807 of the family's 1533-position model. The record is from RNAcentral.
CAGCAGCCACGGGAAUACGAAGGGGGCUAGCGUUGCUCGGAAUUACUGGGCGUAAAGCGUGCGCAGGCGGUUCGUUAAGACAGAUGUGAAAUCCCCGGGCUUAACCUGGGAACUGCAUUUGUGACUGGCGAGCUAGAGUAUGGCAGAGGGGGGUAGAAUUCCACGUGUAGCAGUGAAAUGCGUAGAGAUGUGGAGGAAUACCGAUGGCGAAGGCAGCCCCCUGGGCCAAUACUGACGCUCAUGCACGAAAGCGUGGGGAGCAAACAGGAUUAGAUACCCGGGUAGUCCCUGUCUCUUAUAC